UACGUAGGUGGCAAGCGUUGUCCGGAUUUACUGGGCGUAAAGAGCGCGCAGGCGGUCGGAUAAGUCGAAUGUGAAAGCCCCGGCUCAACUGGGGAGGGUCAUUCGAUACUGUUCGACUCGAAGGCAGGAGAGGGAAGUGGAAUUCCCGGUGUAGUGGUGAAAUGCGUAGAUAUCGGGAGGAACACCAGUGGCGAAGGCGACUUCCUGGCCUGUUCUUGACGCUGAGGCGCGAAAAGCUAGGG
RNAcentral lists this ribosomal RNA (242 nucleotides) under uncultured bacterium. Its description in RNAcentral is "partial 16S ribosomal RNA". It matches the Rfam family "Bacterial small subunit ribosomal RNA", at positions 524 to 766 of the family's 1533-position model. The record is from RNAcentral.